GUGAAUCAUCGAAUCUUUGAACGCAAAUUGCACUCUCCUCUGAUAGUAUGCCUGUUUGAGGGUCAGCCUAUAAAAAUCGACAUCGUUGCUGUUUCGCGGUGGCGUUCGUCGUAAAUUGGGUAAUCUUAAAGCCUUUUGAUUUAAGGAACUUAGAAUUUUCUUUUGGUGCCAUGAAGGUUCCUAGUAUCUAUUUCGUUGGACGUUUAAGCUAUC
RNAcentral lists this unclassified non-coding RNA (213 nucleotides) under Glomus sp. RNAcentral describes it as "partial contains 5.8S ribosomal RNA and internal transcribed spacer 2". The stretch from base 1 to 65 matches the Rfam family "5.8S ribosomal RNA", at positions 84 to 154 of the family's 154-position model. The record is from RNAcentral. Lineage: Eukaryota; Fungi; Glomeromycota; Glomeromycetes; Glomerales; Glomeraceae.